AUGGGGGUGCUGCGGAGCACGCAGAGCAUGGCGGCGGAGGUGGAGGAGAUGCGGGCGGCGCUGCUGCUCGGCCCCGCGUGGAGGUGGCGGGGCGGGGGCGCGGCCGCGGCGGGCAAGCGCGGGGCCGGCGCCGAGGAGGGCGCCGCGGAGGCGCGCGCCGUGUGCGUCACGGGCGGCAUCUCCUUCCUCGGCCUCGCCGUCGUCGACCGCCUCCUCCGCCACGGCUACUCCGUCCGCCUCGCCCUCGAGACCCAAGAGGAUCUGGACAAGCUGAGGGAGAUGGAUUUGUUCGGUGAGAAUGGCAGGGAUGGGGUCUGGACUAUUAUGGCAAAUGUCAUGGACCCGGAGAGCUUGCACCGAGCUUUCGAUGGCUGUGUUGGUGUCUUCCAUACCUCAUCACUCGUGGAUCCAGGAGGCAUCUCCGGCUACACGAAACACAUGGCGACUCUGGAAGCCAAGGCGGCAGAGCAGGUGGUGGAAGCGUGCGUGAGGACGGAGUCGGUGAGGAAGUGCGUCUUCACCUCGUCGCUGCUGGCCUGCGUGUGGAGGCAGAGCUACCCUCACCGCCACCGGUUCCCCGCCACCGUCGAUGAGAGCUGCUGGAGCGACGAGACCUUCUGCCGUGAGAAGAAGCUGUGGUUUGCGCUUGGCAAGACGAUGGCAGAGAAGGCGGCAUGGAGGGCGGCGCGUGGCCGGGACCUGAAGCUCGUGACGGUGUGCCCGGCGCUGGUGACCGGGCCGGGUUUCCGCCGGCGCAACUCCACCCCCUCCAUUGCCUACCUCAAAGGGGCGCACACCAUGCUGGCGGAGGGCCUGCUGGCGACGGCGGACGUGGAGCGGGUGGCGGAGGCGCACGUGCGCGUGUACGAGGCGAUGGGCGGCACCGCCGGCGGGAGGUACAUCUGCUACGACCACGUGGUGCGCCGCGCGGAGGAGUUCGCGGAGCUGGAGCGGCAGCUGGGGCUCCGGCCGAGGGCGCCGCCGCCCCCGGCCGCCGCGCCGCCGUCGUUCGAGCUCUGCAACCGGAAGCUGGCGCGGCUGGUGUCCUCCCGGAGGCGGUGCACCCACGACGCCUACCUCCCCGUCGCGUACGACUGA
RNAcentral lists this ribosomal RNA (1098 nucleotides) under Triticum aestivum (bread wheat). RNAcentral's name for it is "partial small subunit ribosomal RNA". The record is from RNAcentral. Lineage: Eukaryota; Viridiplantae; Streptophyta; Magnoliopsida; Poales; Poaceae.